RNAcentral lists this ribosomal RNA (2780 nucleotides) under Shigella flexneri. RNAcentral's name for it is "partial 23S ribosomal RNA". It matches the Rfam family "Bacterial large subunit ribosomal RNA". The record is from RNAcentral. Lineage: Bacteria; Pseudomonadati; Pseudomonadota; Gammaproteobacteria; Enterobacterales; Enterobacteriaceae.
GUUAAGCGACUAAGCGUACACGGUGGAUGCCCUGGCAGUCAGAGGCGAUGAAGGACGUGCUAAUCUGCGAUAAGCGUCGGUAAGGUGAUAUGAACCGUUAUAACCGGCGAUUUCCGAAUGGGGAAACCCAGUGUGAUUCGUCACACUAUCAUUAACUGAAUCCAUAGGUUAAUGAGGCGAACCGGGGGAACUGAAACAUCUAAGUACCCCGAGGAAAAGAAAUCAACCGAGAUUCCCCCAGUAGCGGCGAGCGAACGGGGAGCAGCCCAGAGCCUGAAUCAGUGUGUGUGUUAGUGGAAGCGUCUGGAAAGGCGUGCGAUACAGGGUGACAGCCCCGUACACAAAAAUGCACAUACUGUGAGCUCGAUGAGUAGGGCGGGACACGUGGUAUCCUGUCUGAAUAUGGGGGGACCAUCCUCCAAGGCUAAAUACUCCUGACUGACCGAUAGUGAACCAGUACCGUGAGGGAAAGGCGAAAAGAACCCCGGCGAGGGGAGUGAAAAAGAACCUGAAACCGUGUACGUACAAGCAGUGGGAGCACGCUUAGGCGUGUGACUGCGUACCUUUUGUAUAAUGGGUCAGCGACUUAUAUUCUGUAGCAAGGUUAACCGAAUAGGGGAGCCGAAGGGAAACCGAGUCUUAACUGGGCGUUAAGUUGCAGGGUAUAGACCCGAAACCCGGUGAUCUAGCCAUGGGCAGGUUGAAGGUUGGGUAACACUAACUGGAGGACCGAACCGACUAAUGUUGAAAAAUUAGCGGAUGACUUGUGGCUGGGGGUGAAAGGCCAAUCAAACCGGGAGAUAGCUGGUUCUCCCCGAAAGCUAUUUAGGUAGCGCCUCGUGAAUUCAUCUCCGGGGGUAGAGCACUGUUUCGGCAAGGGGGUCAUCCCGACUUACCAACCCGAUGCAAACUGCGAAUACCGGAGAAUGUUAUCACGGGAGACACACGGCGGGUGCUAACGUCCGUCGUGAAGAGGGAAACAACCCAGACCGCCAGCUAAGGUCCCAAAGUCAUGGUUAAGUGGGAAACGAUGUGGGAAGGCCCAGACAGCCAGGAUGUUGGCUUAGAAGCAGCCAUCAUUUAAAGAAAGCGUAAUAGCUCACUGGUCGAGUCGGCCUGCGCGGAAGAUGUAACGGGGCUAAACCAUGCACCGAAGCUGCGGCAGCGACGCUUAUGCGUUGUUGGGUAGGGGAGCGUUCUGUAAGCCUGUGAAGGUGUACUGUGAGGUAUGCUGGAGGUAUCAGAAGUGCGAAUGCUGACAUAAGUAACGAUAAAGCGGGUGAAAAGCCCGCUCGCCGGAAGACCAAGGGUUCCUGUCCAACGUUAAUCGGGGCAGGGUGAGUCGACCCCUAAGGCGAGGCCGAAAGGCGUAGUCGAUGGGAAACAGGUUAAUAUUCCUGUACUUGGUGUUACUGCGAAGGGGGGACGGAGAAGGCUAUGUUGGCCGGGCGACGGUUGUCCCGGUUUAAGCGUGUAGGCUGGUUUUCCAGGCAAAUCCGGAAAAUCAAGGCCGAGGCGUGAUGACGAGGCACUACGGUGCUGAAGCAACAAAUGCCCUGCUUCCAGGAAAAGCCUCUAAGCAUCAGGUAACAUCAAAUCGUACCCCAAACCGACACAGGUGGUCAGGUAGAGAAUACCAAGGCGCUUGAGAGAACUCGGGUGAAGGAACUAGGCAAAAUGGUGCCGUAACUUCGGGAGAAGGCACGCUGAUACGUAGGUGAAGCGACUUGCUCGUGGAGCUGAAAUCAGUCGAAGAUACCAGCUGGCUGCAACUGUUUAUUAAAAACACAGCACUGUGCAAACACGAAAGUGGACGUAUACGGUGUGACGCCUGCCCGGUGCCGGAAGGUUAAUUGAUGGGGUUAGCGCAAGCGAAGCUCUUGAUCGAAGCCCCGGUAAACGGCGGCCGUAACUAUAACGGUCCUAAGGUAGCGAAAUUCCUUGUCGGGUAAGUUCCGACCUGCACGAAUGGCGUAAUGAUGGCCAGGCUGUCUCCACCCGAGACUCAGUGAAAUUGAACUCGCUGUGAAGAUGCAGUGUACCCGCGGCAAGACGGAAAGACCCCGUGAACCUUUACUAUAGCUUGACACUGAACAUUGAGCCUUGAUGUGUAGGAUAGGUGGGAGGCUUUGAAGUGUGGACGCCAGUCUGCAUGGAGCCGACCUUGAAAUACCACCCUUUAAUGUUUGAUGUUCUAACGUGGACCCGUAAUCCGGGUUGCGGACAGUGUCUGGUGGGUAGUUUGACUGGGGCGGUCUCCUCCUAAAGAGUAACGGAGGAGCACGAAGGUUGGCUAAUCCUGGUCGGACAUCAGGAGGUUAGUGCAAUGGCAUAAGCCAGCUUGACUGCGAGCGUGACGGCGCGAGCAGGUGCGAAAGCAGGUCAUAGUGAUCCGGUGGUUCUGAAUGGAAGGGCCAUCGCUCAACGGAUAAAAGGUACUCCGGGGAUAACAGGCUGAUACCGCCCAAGAGUUCAUAUCGACGGCGGUGUUUGGCACCUCGAUGUCGGCUCAUCACAUCCUGGGGCUGAAGUAGGUCCCAAGGGUAUGGCUGUUCGCCAUUUAAAGUGGUACGCGAGCUGGGUUUAGAACGUCGUGAGACAGUUCGGUCCCUAUCUGCCGUGGGCGCUGGAGAACUGAGGGGGGCUGCUCCUAGUACGAGAGGACCGGAGUGGACGCAUCACUGGUGUUCGGGUUGUCAUGCCAAUGGCACUGCCCGGUAGCUAAAUGCGGAAGAGAUAAGUGCUGAAAGCAUCUAAGCACGAAACUUGCCCCGAGAUGA